AAAAUUUAUUAUUAAUUUGAUUUAUAUGUAAAUUUUUGUAUGAAUAUACAUUUAUUUUAAAAAUAUUUGUAGUAUAUUUAUUCGCAGUAAUUAAUAUUAUUAAUUAAAGAAAUUUAGAAAUAGCAAUAUUAAAGAGUAUUGACUAAAUUGGUGCCAGCAGUCGCGGUUAUACUAAUAAUACAAAUAAAUUUUUUUAGCAGUAGUUAAAUUGAUUUUUUAAAAUAAAAUUGAAUUUAUUAAGUGAAAUUUUAUAUUCAAAAUAUUUUUAUAAAAAAUAAUUGAAGCUAAAAAAUUUUUGUAAA
RNAcentral lists this ribosomal RNA (302 nucleotides) under Drosophila bifasciata. RNAcentral describes it as "partial 12S ribosomal RNA". Lineage: Eukaryota; Metazoa; Arthropoda; Insecta; Diptera; Drosophilidae. The record is from RNAcentral.